Triticum aestivum (bread wheat) is the source of this 753-nucleotide long non-coding RNA. RefSeq lists it as uncharacterized. The record is from RefSeq and is a predicted model, not a curated record. The transcript is spliced from 2 exons. NCBI's taxonomy places the organism in Eukaryota, Viridiplantae, Streptophyta, Magnoliopsida, Poales, Poaceae.
ACGCCUUCUGCUGCGACCCUACUACCGUCGUCCCGACCAGAUCUAGCCCAAACCCCUUGUGCUUUGACCCUAGCCGCCGACGACCGCCCUCUGUCGCCCGACCCCAGCAGCCCUCGACCACCCAUCGCACCAACCUUCCUCCCGGACCACCGCUGCCGCCGUCAAGUACCAUCGUCCGCAGAUCUGAUCCGCCCUCCGCCGCAUCCCUAGCGCCGCCCAAAUGUCGCCGCUCCCUCCACGCUUUCUCCCUGGGCUGCAACGUCUCCUUGCACCUCUCCCGAACUGCCAAGAUGGGCGUGCAACGAGAUAGGUUUGGCACCGCCGGCCCCUCCUGGUCAUCCUCCUCCUGUGCGUGCUCUUCCGCCCCUGGUCACGUCAUGCUCUCCAGCCCAUCAUCCUUCAUCCGUACUACCCCAGUUCGUGCUCCUCCGGCCUCCCCUUCUUGUACUUUGAGCCCAAGAAUCAUAAGUUAAUAGAUGUUGGUGUCUCAGAAUGACAGGUAAUACCAUUUAAAAAUUUCAAUGAUUAAUGACACCACAUGGUCGAGCACAUAUGCCAAAUCUUCUUUCUCUGCUUUGAAGAAAAUAGCAGAGCACUCGGAUGGAAGAAUGUAUCUGGAACGUCAGCCUUAGCCAGUGCAGACCGCUCUAGCAACAGUUGCCGCUUUGUUUUACUUGUAAAUAUCUAUUACAAAGUGCUAUUUUCAGCUGUAAACAUUCAGCCUAUACGACUAUGUACUGCAUGUUUUACUAA